AUAACUUUUUAAAUCAGUCCAGUGAGGCUGAAAAAAGGAGAAGAUGAAUUUCUCCUUAGAAUAAAAAAUAUAAGGAGGUUUUUUUAU
Clostridium novyi NT is the source of this 87-nucleotide non-coding RNA. Lineage: Bacteria; Bacillati; Bacillota; Clostridia; Eubacteriales; Clostridiaceae. The record is from Rfam.